This 643-nucleotide ribosomal RNA is filed under the name uncultured bacterium. Its description in RNAcentral is "bacterial SSU rRNA". It matches the Rfam family "Bacterial small subunit ribosomal RNA", at positions 232 to 885 of the family's 1533-position model. The record is from RNAcentral.
CGCGGCCUAUCAGCUUGUUGGUGGGGUGAUGGCCUACCAAGGCGACGACGGGUAGCCGGCCUGAGAGGGUGAUCGGCCACAUUGGGACUGAGAUACGGCCCAGACUCCUACGGGAGGCAGCAGUGGGGAAUAUUGCACAAUGGGCGGAAGCCUGAUGCAGCGACGCCGCGUGAGGGAUGACGGCCUUCGGGUUGUAAACCUCUUUCAGCAGGGACGAAGCGUAAGUGACGGUACCUGCAGAAGAAGCACCGGCUAACUACGUGCCAGCAGCCGCGGUAAUACGUAGGGUGCGAGCGUUGUCCGGAAUUACUGGGCGUAAAGAGCUCGUAGGCGGUUUGUCACGUCGUCUGUGAAAUCCUAGGGCUUAACCCUGGACGUGCAGGCGAUACGGGCUGACUUGAGUACUACAGGGGAGACUGGAAUUUCUGGUGUGGCGGUGGAAUGCACAGAUAUCAGGAAGAACACCGAUGGCGAAGGCAGGUCUCUGGGUAGUAACUGACGCUGAGGAGCGAAAGCAUGGGUAGCGAACAGGAUUAGAUACCCUGGUAGUCCAUGCCGUAAACGGUGGGCGCUAGGUGUGGGGUUCCUUCCACGGGCUCCGCGCCGUAGCUAACGCAUUAAGCGCCCCGCCUGGGGAGUACGG